GACGAACGCUGGCGGCGUGCCUAAUACAUGCAAGUCGAGCGGAGUUUGAAAGAAGCUUGCUUCUUUCAAACUUAGCGGCGGACGGGUGAGUAACACGUGGGUAACCUGCCUCUAAGACUGGGAUAACAUUCGGAAACGGAUGCUAAUACCGGAUACACGUUUUGAUCGCAUGAUCGAAAUGGGAAAGACGGAGUAAUCUGUCACUUAAAGAUGGACCUGCGGCGCAUUAGCUAGUUGGUGAGGUAAUGGCUCACCAAGGCGACGAUGCGUAGCCGACCUGAGAGGGUGAUCGGCCACACUGGGACUGAGACACGGCCCAGACUCCUACGGGAGGCAG
Molecule: ribosomal RNA, 337 nt
Filed under: uncultured Bacillota bacterium
Lineage: Bacteria; Bacillati; Bacillota
Description: bacterial SSU rRNA
Rfam family: Bacterial small subunit ribosomal RNA
Source: RNAcentral